This 445-nucleotide ribosomal RNA is filed under the name uncultured Anaerolineaceae bacterium. Its description in RNAcentral is "bacterial SSU rRNA". It matches the Rfam family "Bacterial small subunit ribosomal RNA", at positions 924 to 1382 of the family's 1533-position model. Lineage: Bacteria; Bacillati; Chloroflexota; Anaerolineae; Anaerolineales; Anaerolineaceae. The record is from RNAcentral.
CACAAGCAGCGGAGCGUGUGGUUUAAUUCGAUGCUACACGAAGAACCUUACCAAGGUUUGACAUGCAAGUGGUAGUGAUCUGAAAAGUGAACGACCCUUCGGGGAGCUUGCACAGGUGCUGCAUGGCUGUCGUCAGCUCGUGUCGUGAGAUGUUCGGUUAAGUCCGCUAACGAGCGCAGCCCUCACUGUGUGUUAUACGUGUCACACGGGACUGCCGGUUUUAAGCCGGAGGAAGGCGAGGAUGAAGUCAAGUCAGCAUGGCCUUUAUAUCUUGGGCUACACACACGCUACAAUGGUCUGUACAACAGGUUGCCAAGCCGCGAGGCGGAGCCAAUCCUAAAAGCAGGCCUCAGUUCAGAUUGUAGGCUGCAACCCGCCUGCAUGAAGAUGGAGUUGCUAGUAACCGCAGGUCAGCUAUACUGCGGUGAAUACGUUCCCGGGUCUU